Molecule: long non-coding RNA, 359 nt
Organism: Brassica rapa (field mustard)
Lineage: Eukaryota; Viridiplantae; Streptophyta; Magnoliopsida; Brassicales; Brassicaceae
Source: RefSeq, a predicted model, not a curated record
UGCGACAUAUACAUUCACGAGAGCUUACACAACUGUCCUGGCUGCGAGAGCAUUCACCGUACCAAAUCUAUUUCCUUGAUAUGGAAGAAUGAGAGAACGUAUUCACACGCUAAAUAUUUUUGUGGAAUAAAGGUUACAAAUAGUUAGUUACAGUUUUUGAGAUCAAGCUAUAUAACUUUACCCUUUACCAUUAUUUACAGGUUUCUUGCAGUAACUUGAGAAAUUGAGAAUACUGUAUGUAUUAAAAUAUCGAGAUACAAAUUGAUCCGUAACAAAGUAUUCGGAGCUACGUAGUUUAAGCAGUUACAAAAACAAAGUAUAUUAAACUUGCAAAAAUAAAAAUUUACUAUUAUUGCAAA